GGGAGGCAGAGCUGAGCAUCUCCCGUGCCUGCAGCCCUGGUGCCAGCCCCUCCAGAAGCCAAAGGGCAGAAUUGCCAUGUCAGGAGACAUCGUGAAUUCCACCAGCAAUUGCUCUCCAUGGGAGCUGGUCCCAGCCCUGUGCUGCCCCAGUAAGGGCAGUGAGUCAGGAGCAGCUUUGGGAAUGGCAGGACUCAAUGCGACUGGAGAAAAGAGCACGUGGAAUAUUGGAAAUUAAUUGAAACUUCAUAGAAAUGGGCAACACAAAGCCCCAGGACAUUGUUUCCCAGACCAUGAGCUGAUGCUUUUGGCUGCUGCAGAAGCUCCCCCAUCUCGUCUGAAGCUGCUGAAAAGGUACCAGAGCCAUAUUUUUUGUCAUGAUAGUCUAUUGACAUCCUAUAUCCAGAAAGUAAUGAUGAUCAGAUGGUGCUGCUGAAAUGAUCUGCUCUCAGUGCAGAACUCAUUCAAUCAGCAGAGAGCUCUGCUAUUCAAAUAGAUAAUUAGUGUUGUGACAAGGGUGACUGUAAAUGCCUCAGUUUGGUGGCAAUGUUAGGAAGUGUGACAAAAAUUAA
RNAcentral lists this long non-coding RNA (569 nucleotides) under Junco hyemalis (dark-eyed junco). Its description in RNAcentral is "lncRNA (ENSJHYG00000015995.1)". Lineage: Eukaryota; Metazoa; Chordata; Aves; Passeriformes; Passerellidae. The record is from RNAcentral.